CAGCGCCACGAGUGGCAAUCACGAUUAUUGGGCCUAAAGCGUCCGUAGCCGGUUUGGUAAAUCUUUUGUGAAAUCGCCAGGCUUAACCUGGCGGCGUGCAGGGGACACUGCCAAACUCGAGACCGGGAGGAGUUAGAAGUAUUUCUGGGGGAGCGGUAAAAUGCUAUAAUCCUAGAAGGACUACCUAUGGCGAAGGCAUCUAACUAGAACGGAUCUGACGGUGAGGGACGAAAGCCAGGGGAGCGAACCGGAUUAGAUACCCGCGUAGUCC
Molecule: ribosomal RNA, 271 nt
Filed under: uncultured archaeon
Lineage: Archaea
Description: partial 16S ribosomal RNA
Rfam family: Archaeal small subunit ribosomal RNA
Source: RNAcentral